RNAcentral lists this transfer RNA (53 nucleotides) under Tetragnatha versicolor. Its description in RNAcentral is "tRNA-Arg". Lineage: Eukaryota; Metazoa; Arthropoda; Arachnida; Araneae; Tetragnathidae. The record is from RNAcentral.
CUUAUUGUUAAGAGCUGUUAAAGCGUUUUGAUUUCGACUCAAAAGGUGGAUUA